AAUGUAUGCAUAUCUCUUACUGUGUAGAAGUAAAAGAAACUUUUGAGGUUGAUACAAAACCUUUCUUAGUUUGUGAAAACAAGGUUUUGAGUCAUGACCA
This is a long non-coding RNA of Nanorana parkeri, 100 nucleotides long. RefSeq lists it as uncharacterized. NCBI's taxonomy places the organism in Eukaryota, Metazoa, Chordata, Amphibia, Anura, Dicroglossidae. The transcript is spliced from 4 exons. The record is from RefSeq and is a predicted model, not a curated record.